Saccoglossus kowalevskii is the source of this 928-nucleotide long non-coding RNA. The record is from RefSeq and is a predicted model, not a curated record. Lineage: Eukaryota; Metazoa; Hemichordata; Enteropneusta; Harrimaniidae.
AAUCAUUGUACUGGAACUUUGUUCAGCCAGCACAUUCCGACUGUCUGCGACACAGAAUUUAGAAGAUUUACCCCAAGAAAAAUCAAUGGCUUCUCAGAAAUACGAAUUUAAAGUUCACAUGGCAUGUGAGGGAUGCUCUGGUGCUGUAACCAAGGUAUUAACAAGAAGCCCAGGCGUUGAGAGCGUUAAGAUUGACAUGGAAAACCAGAAGGUGCUUGUCUCUUCGUCUUUGCCAUCAGACGAAGUGUUGACGAUCAUAAAGAAGACGGGGAAGCAAUGUUCCCUUGUCCAGAGUGAUUAAAAUCUUACCAGGUGUCCACCACGACAAGGAGUGAUGCCGUGAUGUGUUUUUUUAUGCCAGCUCAAUCGUCAAAUCUAUAUUGCCUCUAUUUAGAAAAAUACAAUUUAAAGAUACAAUAGCUGUGAUUUCGGGCAUUUUUUGCUUGUUAUAAAUAUAACCACAUAGAAGGUUACCUAAUCUUACCAAAAUAUUGUUUUAGACGCAUUGCAAUUGCAAGUAACCCUACACUGGGUCAACGUAAUCAUUUAUUCAGUUGAUUUCAUUGAUAUCGGUCACGUGAUGAGAAUCGUAAACACCUGUACGACACACACUAUUAGAGGAAAUAACACAUACAUUUUUCAGUGGAUUUCAAUAGAUGGCGCCCUCUAGAGACCCGAUGCAAACCCGCGACCAAAUACUUGUAGUUUUUCAUUUUCCCCAAGUGAUUUAAUGUUCAACGUCAGCAUAUAGCGUAUAUACCAUGCUUUCAAUGCCCAUAUCUCGACGAUGGCCGUCACAAAUUGACACUAAUGAUGUAAUAUUAAAAUUAAAAAUCGGAGAAAAAUUGAUGGAUACCUCUAUUGCAGCUAUUUUUGGUUUUGAAUGCACUGAAUGAAUAAAUAGUAAAAUACCUAUUGUGGAACAGUA